Molecule: long non-coding RNA, 376 nt
Organism: Neopelma chrysocephalum (saffron-crested tyrant-manakin)
Lineage: Eukaryota; Metazoa; Chordata; Aves; Passeriformes; Pipridae
Exons: 3
Source: RefSeq, a predicted model, not a curated record
CGUGGCACUCCAUGCGGAGAGAAAGAUCAUGAGAGGAAACACGUAAUAAAUUGGCCUUAGCCAAUGUGUUUGGGCUGUCAUUGCAUACUGUGCCAGCUGAAUGUAGACAAGUAUGAUGCUGUGGUUGACAGUAGAGGCUCCAUCGACUACCACAAGGACUAACUUUCACGCAUAAACAACUUAAUAUACCUUGAAAUGAUGAACUCACCUGACCUUGCCAGAAUUUCAUUAUGAAGUCCAAGGAAGGCAGGAAUUGAGGAAACUACCACUCCCUGCCUGAAUGUUAAAAGAGAAGAGCGAGCUGGGUCAAUUCUUUGAAGAAAUAGUUACAGAAGACUGCUGUUAGGAGAAGGGAUUCCAGGUUUAUGAUCCCCAG